Molecule: ribosomal RNA, 253 nt
Filed under: uncultured bacterium
Lineage: Bacteria
Description: partial 16S ribosomal RNA
Rfam family: Bacterial small subunit ribosomal RNA
Source: RNAcentral
UACGAAGGGGGCUAGCGUUGCUCGGAAUCACUGGGCGUAAAGCGCACGUAGGCGGCUUCUUAAGUCAGGGGUGAAAUCCUGGAGCUCAACUCCAGAACUGCCCUUGAUACUGAGGAGCUCGAGUCCGGAAGAGGUGAGUGGAACUGCGAGUGUAGAGGUGAAAUUCGUAGAUAUUCGCAAGAACACCAGUGGCGGAGGCGGCUCACUGGCCCGGUACUGACGCUGAGGUGCGAAAGCGUGGGGAGCAAACAGG